This 437-nucleotide ribosomal RNA is filed under the name uncultured bacterium. RNAcentral's name for it is "partial 16S ribosomal RNA". It matches the Rfam family "Bacterial small subunit ribosomal RNA", at positions 29 to 507 of the family's 1533-position model. The record is from RNAcentral.
AGCGAACGCUGGCGGCAGGCUUAACACAUGCAAGUCGAGCGGGCACCUUUCGGGGUGUCAGCGGCGGACGGGUGAGUAACGCGUGGGAACGUGCCCUCUGGUUCGGAAUAACUCAGGGAAACUUGAGCUAAUACCGGAUACGCCCUUUUGGGGAAAGGCUUGCUGCCGGAGGAGCGGCCCGCGUCUGAUUAGCUAGUUGGUGAGGUUACGGGUCACCAUGGGCAGGAUAAGUAGCUGGUCUGAGAGGAUGAUCAGCGACACUGGGAGUGAGAAACGGCCCAGACUCCUACGGGAGGCAGCAGUGGGGAAUAUUGGACAAUGGGCGCAAGCCUGAUCCAGCCAUGCCGCGUGAGUGAUGAAGGCCUUAGGGUUGUAAAGCUCUUUUAUCCGGGACGAUAAUGACGGUACCGGAGGAAUAAGCCCCGGCUAACUUCGUG